RNAcentral lists this ribosomal RNA (253 nucleotides) under uncultured prokaryote. RNAcentral's name for it is "partial 16S ribosomal RNA". It matches the Rfam family "Bacterial small subunit ribosomal RNA", at positions 524 to 776 of the family's 1533-position model. The record is from RNAcentral.
UACGAAGGGGGCUAGCGUUGUUCGGAAUCACUGGGCGUAAAGCGUACGUAGGCGGAUCGUUAAGUCAGGGGUGAAAGCCUGGAGCUCAACUCCAGAACUGCCUUUGAUACUGGCGAUCUUGAGACCGGGAGAGGUGAGUGGAACUGCUAGUGUAGAGGUGAAAUUCGUAGAUAUUCGCAAGAACACCAGUGGCGAAGGCGGCUCACUGGCCCGAUACUGACGCUGAGGCACGAAAGCGUGGGGAGCAAACAGG